RNAcentral lists this transfer RNA (95 nucleotides) under Xanthomonas campestris pv. campestris. Its description in RNAcentral is "tRNA-Gly". The record is from RNAcentral. Lineage: Bacteria; Pseudomonadati; Pseudomonadota; Gammaproteobacteria; Lysobacterales; Lysobacteraceae.
GGCGUAGCUGGCCCACGGUGCGCCCACGCUCGCCUUCCAGGCGUGCACGCGGCAGGCCGCUUUCGCGCAUGGCCCGUUCGAUCAGGCCAUCGCCC